GGAUGUGAGGGCGAUCUGGCUGCGACAUCUGUCACCCCAUUGAUUGCCGGGGUUGAUUCGGCUGAUGUGGCUGGCUAGGCGGUGUCCCCUUCCUCCCUUACCGCUCCAUGUGCGUCCCUCCUGAAGCUGUGCGCUCCGUCGAGGAGGACGACCUUCCCCGAUAGAGGAGGACCGUUCUUCGGUCAAGGAUAUACGAGUAGCUAUGCUCCCCUGCUAGAACUUCCAAACAAGCUCUCAAGGUCCUGCUGGAGGGGAGCCCGGAAUUGGCCUCCUCUGGGGGCGGAUGUUGAGCCUUUCAUA
This 300-nucleotide small nuclear RNA is filed under the name Ailuropoda melanoleuca (giant panda). RNAcentral describes it as "7SK RNA". It matches the Rfam family "7SK RNA". Rfam says of the family: 7SK was discovered as an abundant small nuclear RNA in the mid-70s but a possible function has only recently been suggested. Two independent studies have found that 7SK RNA binds the CDK9/cyclin T complex (known as elongation factor P-TEFb). Lineage: Eukaryota; Metazoa; Chordata; Mammalia; Carnivora; Ursidae. The record is from Rfam by way of RNAcentral.